GGGCGUUUUAGUCGGUGGAGGUAGACGCGAAACCAAGUGAUCUACACAUGUCCAGGUUGAAGUCUCGGUAACACGAGAUGGAGGACCGCACCAAUAAGCGUUGAAAAGCUUCUGGAUGAGGUGUGUGUAGGAGUGAAAGGCCAAUCAAACUUGGAGAUAGCUCGUACUCCCCGAAAGGCAUUUAGGUGCCGCGUGCUAUGAUUUGCAUAAGAGGUAGAGCGACCGAUAGGUCAAGAGGGCUUCACCGCCUAUCGCGACCUGACGAACUCCGAAUGCUUAUGUACCGUAGUAGUGCAGUAAGGGGGCGGGUGCUAAGGUCCGUCCCCGAGAGGAGAAGAAUCCAGACCGCCGUCUAAGGUCCCUGAAUUCUGUCUAAGUUAGUCUAACGAAGUCUGGUCCCCGUGACAGCUAGGAUGUUGGCUUGGAAGCAGCCAUUCAUUCAAAGAGUGCGUAACAGCUCACUAGUCGAGGGUCUGGGCAUGGAUAAUAAUCGGGUAUAAGACAGAUACCGAAGGCGCGGGAUAGUAAUGAUAAAAGUAUCGGUAGGGGAGCAUUCUAUAUACGUUGAAUGGUUAAGGUAACUUUUCCUGGAGUGUAUAGAAAAGCAAAUGUAGGUAUAAGUAACGAUAAGAAGGGUAAGAUUCCCUUCCGCCGCAAGACUAAGGUUUCCCGGGCAAUGCCAAUCAUCCCGGGGUUAGUCGGGUCCUAAGUCUCAGCCGACAGGCGAGGGCGAUGGCAGACACGGUUAAUAUUCCGUGACUGCUGCAUGAUGCGAUUGUGGAGACGGAGAAGUGACACCACCGCGAGCUGACGGAAUAGCUCGUUGAAGAAAUUAGGCGUCGAUCAUGGUAGGCAAAUCCGCCAUGAGAGCUGAAUUUUGAAAGUAUGGCAUUCCCCUCGGGGAAAGCCAAUAGUGUGGGUAAUCCUGCUUCCAAGAAAAUCCGCUAAGCUUCAGUCAUGCAGCACCCGUACCGCAAACGGACACACGUAGUCGGGUUGAAUAUACUUAGGCGUUGAGAGAUUCAUGGUUAAGGAACUAGGCAAAUUAACCCCGUAACUUCGGGAAAAGGGGUCCUCGUUAUUUUACGAGGCGCAGAGAAUAGGUCCAGGCAACUGUUUACCAAAAACACAGGGCUGUGCUAACUCGAAAGAUGAAGUAUACAGUCUGACACCUGCCCGGUGCUGGAAGGUUAAGAGGAGAGGUUAUACGCAAGUAGAAGCUUUGAAUUGAAGCCCCAGUAAACGGCGGCCGUAACUAUAACGGUCCUAAGGUAGCGAAAUUCCUUGUCGGGUAAGUUCCGACCUGCACGAAUGGUGUAAUGAUCUGGACACUGUCUCAAUCAUGAUCUCAGUGAAAUUGUAGUAUCGGUGAAGAUGCCGAUUACCCGCGAUGGGACGAAAAGACCCCGUGAACCUUUACUAUAGCUUAGCAUUGACCUUGGUCAUCCGAUGUGUAGGAUAGGCCGGAGGCUUAGAAGGAGGCGCGCCAGCGCUUUUGGAGCCAUCGUUGAAAUACGGCCCUUUGGCUGUCUGAGGUCUAACGCGCUUAAAGUGCGGACACUGCUUGGUGGGUAGUUUGACUGGGGUGGUCGCCUCCAAAAGCGUAACGGAGGCUUCCAAAGGUGCCCUCAGGUCGAUUGGUAACCGACCUUUUAGAGUGCAAUGGCAUAAGGCGCUUGACUGGGAGGCAGACAUGCCGAGCAGGCAGGAAACUGGGGCAUAGUGAUCCGGUGCAUGUGUAUGGAAACUGCAUCGCUCAAAGGAUAAAAGGUACUCCGGGGAUAACAGGCUGAUCCCCCCCAAGAGCUCAUAUCGACGGGUGGUUUGGCACCUCGAUGUCGGCUCGUCACAUCCUGGGGCUGGAGAAGGUCCCAAGGGUUGGGCUGUUCGCCCAUUAAAGUGGCACGCGAGCUGGGUUCAGAACGUCGUGAGACAGUUCGGUCUCUAUCUAUCGUGGGCGCAGGAGUUUUGCGUGGUGCCGUCACUAGUACGAGAGGACCGUGAUGGACAGACCUCUGGUUUACCAGUUGUGCCGCCAGGCGCACCGCUGGGUAUCUAAGUCUGGUUAGGAUAAGCGCUGAAAGCAUCUAAGUGCGAAGCCAUCCGCAAGAUGAGAACUCCAUAUAAGGGUCGUUGUAGACGACGACGUUGAUAGGGUGCAGGUGUAAAGCCAGCGAUGGCAAAGCCGAGCACUACUAAUUGCCCAAGACUUUCUUUU
RNAcentral lists this ribosomal RNA (2218 nucleotides) under Hoylesella timonensis 4401737 = DSM 22865 = JCM 15640. RNAcentral's name for it is "bacterial LSU rRNA". It matches the Rfam family "Bacterial large subunit ribosomal RNA", at positions 690 to 2925 of the family's 2925-position model. The record is from RNAcentral. Lineage: Bacteria; Pseudomonadati; Bacteroidota; Bacteroidia; Bacteroidales; Prevotellaceae.